Molecule: long non-coding RNA, 751 nt
Filed under: Marmota monax (woodchuck)
Lineage: Eukaryota; Metazoa; Chordata; Mammalia; Rodentia; Sciuridae
Source: RNAcentral
ACAAAAUAGGGUUGGGGAUGUGGCUCAGUGCCCCUGAGUUCAAUCCCUGGUACCAAAUAAAAUAAAACUAAAUAAAAUAGAAAGAAGUGACUAUUCCACCAGAUGUGUAGGCAUCAACAUAUGGACCCAAGACACAUAAGAAAGCAUGGCACCUCUAAGGAAACACAGUUGUUCUCCAGAAAUAGAUCCAAAUUUGCAGUAAAUCUAUGAAAUGCCUGAAAAAGAAUUCAAACUAAUGAUCCUAAGGGAACUCAGUGAGAUAUAUGAAAAUAUAGAGAGACGAUGUAAUAGAAUGAGAGAAACCAUUAAUGAUAUGAAUUAGAAAUUUAACAAAGAUAGAAAUCAUAAAAAUAAUCAGAACUCAGGGCUAAAAACUUCAAUUAAUUAAAAAAUACAAUUGAGAGUUUCCACAUCAGGCCAAACAGAAGAAUGAAUGUCUGAACUAGAGUAUACAGUAGCUUAGACAAUUAAAGAAAAAAGAUGAAUAAGAGAAUUGAAAAGAAAACAAAGAAUAAAAAGAAAAAUAAAACUCCCUUGAAUGUAAGUAGAUUAAAUUUAGCAAUCAAAAAACAUAAAUUGACAGAAUUGAUAAAAAUAGCAAGACCCAACCAUAUGCUGCCUACAAGAAACUCCCUUCAUUAGUAUAUACACAGAUUUAAAAUGAAGAGUUAGAAAAAGUUAUGCUAGGUAAAUAGCAACUAAAAAUAAGCAGGAGUAGCUAUGCUGAUGUUAGGUAAAAUAAAUUUUAUAU